Long non-coding RNA from Rhagoletis zephyria (snowberry fruit fly), 1108 nucleotides. RefSeq lists it as uncharacterized. Lineage: Eukaryota; Metazoa; Arthropoda; Insecta; Diptera; Tephritidae. The record is from RefSeq and is a predicted model, not a curated record.
CGGAAUUCAUUUUCCACCUGGAACGGAAUAUCGUAUCAUGAACUCCGGGCGAAAAUUGUUUCACUUCUAACAAUUCGAACAUCAACAGCUGUUCUUACAAAAGCUGAUAUUUGCCAACAGUACGCAUAAUUAUACUAUAAAUAAGUUUUGAGAGUUUUUAUUAAUAUUGGAGUUAUAUUAAACAAAAAUGUUUCGCAUAGCUUAACGCUCACUAAUUGAAGAAAAUAGAGAAGUGGAAAAUGGUCAAAUCGAAAGAAUAAUUCGCCGGAACUUAAGAGAUCGCUCUAAUCCUCUGGAUUUACCAAAUGAAUUGUUUGUGCAGCACUAUAGGGUAAAUAAAUCCGUAUUUAUUUAUCUGUUAGAUGAGCUAAAGUUGGCAUUGCCAAAAGGCAGAAAAGCAUUUGCUAUCCCUAUGCAUAUAAAACUUGCGGCGUGCUUGAGGUUUUUUGCUGAAGGAGGGUACCAAAAAGGAAUUGCUCGGGAUAGAGGAUUUUCAUUGGGACAGUCUUCUUUCAGCAAGGUGUUGGCAGAGGUAUUGGACGCACUUCAACGUAAAUUGUGUCUAAAAUGGAUAAAAUGGCCUACACAUGAGGAGAGAAGAGAAAUUUCUCAACAUUUUUAUACGAAGUACAGGAUACCCGGGGUCAUUGGAUGUGUUGACGGGACAAAUGUUGGCAUUAUUGCUCCAGAACAAAAUAAGCAUUUAUAUUAUAACCGAAAAGGAUUUUACAGUUUAAACGUCAUGAUCGUAUGUGACGAUGAACAAAGAAUUCGGUGCAUAGAUGCCAAGCAUCCCGGAUCAUGUCACGACUCGAGAAUUUGGGCAACAAGCCAAUGCAGAGAAGUGUUGCAAAGAGAAAUUCCUGGCAGUCAUUCGAAUAUGUGGCUUUUAGGGGAUGCUGGGUAUCCACUAGAGCCUUGCCUGAUGACACCCUUCAGGAGCCCUCAACUGGGCUCUACUCAGCAAAAUUUUAACGAUGUGCACGCAAAAUGCCGAAAUAUAGUGGAGAGGACUAUCGGCGUACUUAAAAAUCGUUGGAGGUGUUUGUUAGCAGCUAGAAAAAUCUCAAAAAGUUAAAAGUUUAGAUACAACUUUGCAGAUUUUUUA